GAAUUACUGAAUGAGUGAAUAGUCACCAGUUUUGAAGAGAGCAGAAGACUGAUUCAACAGAGAAGUCCAAACACCUCUCUGUGAAGUGUUUUCAGAGUUCAUCCCCUGCUGAAAGUCUCCUCUAAGUUCUUUGCUGUUGCCCAGCCAACACCUGAGGGAUCACAAACAAACCUGGGAGUAAGUAAUUAAAAUUCAAAG
Long non-coding RNA from Neopelma chrysocephalum (saffron-crested tyrant-manakin), 198 nucleotides. RefSeq lists it as uncharacterized. NCBI's taxonomy places the organism in Eukaryota, Metazoa, Chordata, Aves, Passeriformes, Pipridae. The record is from RefSeq and is a predicted model, not a curated record. The transcript is spliced from 3 exons.